GGGCUCGUGGCGCAGCGGUAGCGCGUUCCGUUUGCAACGGAGAGGUCGUGGGUUCAAAUCCCACCGAGUCCA
This 72-nucleotide transfer RNA is filed under the name Microcaldota archaeon. RNAcentral's name for it is "tRNA-Ala". It matches the Rfam family "tRNA". Rfam says of the family: Transfer RNA (tRNA) molecules are approximately 80 nucleotides in length. Lineage: Archaea; Nanobdellati; Microcaldota. The record is from RNAcentral.